This 253-nucleotide ribosomal RNA is filed under the name uncultured bacterium. RNAcentral describes it as "partial 16S ribosomal RNA". It matches the Rfam family "Bacterial small subunit ribosomal RNA", at positions 524 to 776 of the family's 1533-position model. The record is from RNAcentral.
UACGUAGGGCGCAAGCGUUGUCCGGAUUCACUGGGUGUAAAGGGUGCGUAGGCGGGAGAGUAAGUCCGCGGUGAAAUCUCACAGCUCAACUGUGAAACUGCCGUUGAUACUGCUUUUCUUGAGUUCGGGAGAGGUUGAUGGAAUUCCAGGUGUAGCGGUGAAAUGCGUAGAUAUCUGGAAGAACACCAGUGGCGAAGGCGGUCAACUGGCCCGUAACUGACGCUGAGGCACGAAAGCGUGGGUAGCGAACAGG